Molecule: long non-coding RNA, 334 nt
Organism: Corythoichthys intestinalis (scribbled pipefish)
Lineage: Eukaryota; Metazoa; Chordata; Actinopteri; Syngnathiformes; Syngnathidae
Exons: 3
Source: RefSeq, a predicted model, not a curated record
AUAUAAGAAUUAGAUAUUGUAUAUACAAACAGCUGUUUUCUUCCAGCCUUAACCUCUCACUGUCUCUUAUAGGGUGCUGUCACUCAUUUUUGGAAGGCUGCCGUGGUCACAUUUUGAUAUUCAUCUCAUCUCUGUUCCUCUCUGUCCUUUUUUCAGGAUCCCAUCAUGUUCUAUGUUUGUUCAGGAGGUUCACUUGACCAUGCAGACUUUUGGAUUCCUCUAAGUUCCCAUGUUUGAGGAAGCAUUUGGUGUUGCUGUGCAAAGUGUUGCUGCAGUGGAGGUUCAAGGUUACUGUUUAUUGAUAUGGAUCCCAUCAUACUUUGUUCAUUGUUUG